Molecule: long non-coding RNA, 4537 nt
Organism: Ictalurus punctatus (channel catfish)
Lineage: Eukaryota; Metazoa; Chordata; Actinopteri; Siluriformes; Ictaluridae
Exons: 2
Source: RefSeq, a predicted model, not a curated record
UAAAAAAGUCUUGAGAAGAGCUUUAAAAAUGCCAAGAGUCUGGGCUUCCCUGAGUUCAGGAGGAAGAGAGUUCCAAAGUGAAGGAGCAUAGACAGAAAAGCCCCGUCACCCAUAGAUUUUAGGUGUGUUUGGAACAGUUAAUUACAUUGAACAGAUUACAUUGUGCGAUUUGGGGUGUAAGGGAUAAAAAAUAAAAAAUGUUUUCCUUUUAAAAGCUGUGUACAGUGUAGUGCAGAGAGCCAAUCAGAUUUCAGCUUUCCUGAUUCUGAAUCUCGCGGCCAGACAACACCGAGUCGUGAUGUUUUCAGCGGCUGUUUUAGCGACUGUAAGCGCUGUCCUAACCACUGAACACACUUUUGUGUCCUUUCUACUUUUCCACAGCGAUGCAGAUGCUAUAGAUACUUCACUUUAGAUCGUUUUCUGCCGUGUCCAGGCCUCCGUACCGUUCACAUAUCGCUCACCAUGGCUUUCGAGGUUCGCUCUGUCCGCUCAAUAUGAGCACUGUUUUGUAAGCAAAUAUAAUACAAAAAAAGUUACUACUUAGUAAGUUUUCAGAGACGACUACGUUUGAGUGCAAAAGUUUGCACACCCUUGGGGGAAAGAAAAAAAAAAGAGAUAAGAAUGACUAACGAAUAACCCGUAUCGACUAGAUUUCCUCUGAAAAGCUCAUUUAGUUCAAAAGUUUGUUCAUUAAUGAAAGGCCAGUGCACCGAAGCGUGUAUACACUGAAGUGAAGGUUUCAGCGUUGCUGAUUCUGAAUCUCGUAGCCAGAAAAGGAUGAAACAGUGUUUGGCAUUAAUGGGUUUUUUCCCCCUGAUUGUAUACUAUCGAUACUUGUCCUGUCCAGGCUUCCGUACCAGUCGCAUCUCGCUGAUCAUGGUUUCGAUUCUCGAGAUAUAUCUGCCAUUUCCAAGUAAAACAGGAGCACGCAGUCCUCUCCAACGUCUCAGCCCGGCGUUAUUAAUUGCACUUGAAGAAUCUAAUUUGGUAACUCGGUGACGUCUGGUGAAAUGAAAAUCUCAUUUCUGUGAGUAGCUCAACGAUGAAAUUAUUUGAGUUGAACACAGCUGUUGAUUUCUUCCUCUAGUUUGUCUGCAUCCCGUCCAGCCCUGAGUGUGGUGGUGUACCCCCUUCUCCACGAGGACUUAGGGAACGUGAUCAGGGAAAUGCCGCUCUGCCAUCUGGACGAGAUCACGCUCUUCAAGACCCGUGUGGCAGAAGAUCCCACUGUACUGUGAGACACAGAGAGAUGUCUGACAUUGCCUUGCGAUGGUGGAUGUUAACAUUUCACCGCUUAUUGUUUACACAGACACAAAGGGAGUUUUGCAGAUCAUCUAGACGUCACCUGCAAAGGACUGAAAUCAAAAUAAGUGUGUUACAGGCGUUAGUGGGAAGCACAACAGUGCCAGAAUCACAUCACACAUGAAAUAAAGUUGCUGUUGGUGCAUUCUUUGUUGUUGUUGUUGUUGUUGUUGUUGUUGUUGUUAUGUCUUAUGAAUUUUCAGACAAAAUAAAGGAACACGUUAUCAAAUAAAGCUGCGAUCCGCGGGGUCCAAGCACCACCACAAACAUUGCCCUGGUGGCCAUUUUUGUUUAGCGAUCAUUAGGAAUGAAAAAAGAUACGUUAAGAUAAUACUUUAUUAAUCCCCAGAUGGAGAAAUUAGGGGAAUGGAGAAUACAGUUCAGAGAUUAGCACAACGAUGCAGGACGUCAAUUAACUGUUGACACGUUUCUAACGUGCUAAACCCGAAUCUGUUAAUAAAGGAGAUCCUGGAUCUGAGCAUGAAUUCUCCUGAAGGGCGUCUAACUGUGAAUGCAUAAAGAAACAGGAAUGAGGAGAAAAAAUAAAGCAUGUAGAAGAAGAAAUGAUAGAUUGGGUCAUGUGCUUGGUUAGUAUAAAGGAACUAAAACCACAAGUUCAGCAAGUUUUGCAGUGAUGAGAUUCCAAAUGAUGUCCAAACGAACUUCUGAUCACAUCUUCUUUUCACUUCUAGGAACUCGUUUGAGGAAUCAUCCCGAACCACAAAGUGAUUUCUUCUUAUUUCAGCUCCCUCUGAUUUUGGAAGUUCUCAGUAAUGUUGCGUUCAGGAGGCGCGCUGUUUGCUUUUUUCUGAAAGAAAACUCGACAGAAACGUGAACCCGAGGUGUGUAUCGGGACGCGACAAAACGUCUGCGGGACGAAGAAACGAUUUUCAAGAAGAUUGUGAUUUUAAAGUGGAAACAGUGCACAAAGAUUUAUAAAUCUGAUAUUUAAAGAAAUUAAUGGUGCACGCGCACUUUCGCUCUAGAAUCCAUGCGAAGUUUUGUAAAUGAGGCCCCAGACCACUAGGUGGCGCACCUCUGGUCAGUCCAAGGGACGUGUAGCUAACCAAGGUACAGUACCUGGGCUACAGGAUUGGUUCCGGACCUCCAGGAAAGGCUUUCCUGAAUCCCAGAGAGCCAGGUCUGUGUUUUUACUGGGUUUGCAGGAUACCACCGGAGAUGAAAAUAAGAUGAUGCCAACGCGUAAUUUUUCCAGAACACGGCACAUGGAGGUACGUCGAAGGGUGUCGGCUGUCUUGUCACGACACGUGGUGCAUGAAGGGAACAGAAACGUGUAUAAGUUGUCAGUACUGGAUGUACAUGUAUAUAUUAUUUACUGUACUUAAUAUUAAGUUGAAUAUACACAGUACACUGUGUGUGUAAAGGUUCUAUAAGCAGCUCUUGUUAAGACGGAAUAUUAACAGAAAGCGGAUAAACGCUUUUGCCUUUGCAUCACGGAGUCUUGCUGCUUGCUCAACAUAAAGGAACUGGAAAGUUGUGCAGUCCUGCAAUGAUGCCAAUUACAGAAGUGAAGCUAAAAGUUCCACAAGCUACUUCUAAUAACUUCUACACAUCUUCUGGGAACUGUUUUUGUACAUUUUAUUUGCAGCCGUGGAUCUUCUGAGUAAUCCUCCUGAACCCCAACAUCCAGUAACAGAGCUGUAUACACUGACGCUGUUUCUAAUCACUGCAUGAGGCGCGCAGUAGGUUCUCCUGGAGUUCCAGACAUGUUUGGAGCUGUGUGUAAUCGUUUCAUGUGGCGUCGUGUGUUCUUUAUAUCGUGUGUGUUCUUUCCUUAUCUGUAGCUUCCUGUUUGUAGGAGGACGGACACAGUAACGUAGCUCUGCUGAUCACGCCUGCCUCGUGUUGUCUGUAUAAAGUCUCUGACUCUGAGACUCUUCUGCACUCGUCGUUCAGUGAACAUUGUGUUCUGCUACGUCUGCGUCCAUCAUGAAGCUCCUCAGUGUGGUUCUCCUUCUGCUUCCACUCUCGCUCUGUUUGGCUAGAGUCGUGGAUGAUUUUACUGAGAGCUGUCCACAGUUCUUCGCUAAUCCGUAUCAUGUCGUUUCUCCUCCCACGGGUUUUACUGGGACUCAGUAUAAACAGAUCUGUCAAACUCGAAAUGAUCAAGCUGAAUUCGCGACACUUUAUGACACGACGUACAGGAUCCCAGUUUACUCAGCAUACAGGUUUACCAGACUAAUGAAGUGUAAAAGAAGGAUGGGAAACUGGUAUAUUGAAGCUCAGCUGGAAAAUGGAACCUUGGGGCCAAACAUGGCUACUGAGUCUGCUGUGAGAAAUAUAGUUAAUCAGGCUGAGAACGGAGAUUAUAAAUAUUCUGGCUAUGAUAGAGGACACCUGGCUCCAGUUUUCCAUGCCACCUCACAGAACUGUGCUGAUGCCACCUUCACGCUGACCAACGCUGCUCCACAGGCGGCAAUGUUCAACCGCAAUACAUGGAUGAGGACAGAAAAAAGCAUGAAUGACAUACUGACCAAAUCUUGCCUUAAUGUAGGCCUGCGUGCAUUUGUAGUAACUGGGGUUGUGCCGGGUACUGGUACAUUGAAAAAUGAAGGUAGAGUGCGAAUUCCCAGUCACUUCUGGAUGGCAUUCUGCUGCCUCGAUAGCAAUAAUAUACCCAAACACUCAGGUGCAUAUAUUGGAGAAAAUAUAAAUAAUGCUAAAGUGGACAAUCUGGAAAGGCAGGUACUUGAGAAUCGAUUAUACAAUCUGUAUGGGAGAACUGUCACUUUGUUUGGUGGUCGAUGUUAGAUGCAGAAUAUGGAGAAAAGCGUGAACUAUCUGUGUUAACACGGCUGUAUCGGGGACAUUUCUGUAGCAUCAUACCUCCUUUUAAUUUCACUUUGUUUCCUCGACGACGCGACAAUUUCAAACAGAAAAUAAAACAAUAGAAAAGCAAACAGCUGGAAAGGGGAAACACGCCGCACGAAAGCGUCAAAAGCAGGAACGAUGUUGAACUAGUGGAAAGUCCGAGUGUUGAAUGGUUUCAGCGUCUGUCCUGUAUGUUUCCCAUUCAGUGGAACAACUUCUACACACAUACACUUAAAAAAAUGAAAACUAAUCAGAAAUCACUCAUGUGUUGAUUGACAUGUUGUUGUACUUUUAAUCAGUUUAUUUCUGUCACUAAAUUGGGAUCAGAUCAUUUAUCAUGAAUCACUGAAUUGCAGUUUGAUUUUCUGCAGAAUUCUACAUUAAUAAAGAGCAUCCAAUUAAA